This 765-nucleotide ribosomal RNA is filed under the name uncultured Streptococcus sp. RNAcentral describes it as "bacterial SSU rRNA". It matches the Rfam family "Bacterial small subunit ribosomal RNA", at positions 28 to 776 of the family's 1533-position model. Lineage: Bacteria; Bacillati; Bacillota; Bacilli; Lactobacillales; Streptococcaceae. The record is from RNAcentral.
GACGAACGCUGGCGGCGUGCCUAAUACAUGCAAGUAGAACGCUGAAGCUUGGUGCUUGCACCGAGCGGAUGAGUUGCGAACGGGUGAGUAACGCGUAGGUAACCUGCCUGGUAGCGGGGGAUAACUAUUGGAAACGAUAGCUAAUACCGCAUAAAAUUGAUUAUCGCAUGACAAUCAAUUGAAAGGUGCAAAUGCAUCACUACCAGAUGGACCUGCGUUGUAUUAGCUAGUUGGUGGGGUAACGGCUCACCAAGGCGACGAUACAUAGCCGACCUGAGAGGGUGAUCGGCCACACUGGGACUGAGACACGGCCCAGACUCCUACGGGAGGCAGCAGUAGGGAAUCUUCGGCAAUGGACGGAAGUCUGACCGAGCAACGCCGCGUGAGUGAAGAAGGUUUUCGGAUCGUAAAGCUCUGUUGUAAGAGAAGAACGAGUGUGAGAGUGGAAAGUUCACACUGUGACGGUAUCUUACCAGAAAGGGACGGCUAACUACGUGCCAGCAGCCGCGGUAAUACGUAGGUCCCGAGCGUUGUCCGGAUUUAUUGGGCGUAAAGCGAGCGCAGGCGGUUAGAUAAGUCUGAAGUUAAAGGCUGUGGCUUAACCAUAGUACGCUUUGGAAACUGUUUAACUUGAGUGCAAGAGGGGAGAGUGGAAUUCCAUGUGUAGCGGUGAAAUGCGUAGAUAUAUGGAGGAACACCGGUGGCGAAAGCGGCUCUCUGGCUUGUAACUGACGCUGAGGCUCGAAAGCGUGGGGAGCAAACAGG